CUGGUUGAGAGGUUGGAGGUAUACCCAUUUUCUGUUCUGAUUGAGAAGCAUUUGUACUCUUUUUUUCAUGUGCAUUUCCACUAUUAUUUUGUGUAACUCCGACCAAUGUUUCUAAUAUCUCACAAUCAUCAAGACUGGAAUAUUGACUUGUAAAGAUGAAAAAACAAACGAAUAACAAUGUAAGUCAAAAUUUUAAUACAAAAUGGAAAAUUAAAAAUGUAAUAACAACAAUAAAAGAGAAAAUAGUGAAAAAACCUCCAUUGGACAAGUGAAAAUGUUUCUAACUUAAAAGCUCUUUAUCCAACUUCAGUAUUAAAAUAUUAUAAUUUAGAUGUUGUGUAAUUGUUUGACAUACUUGAACAUCUAGAGUAUAAUUUAGAUGAUGUUGCAAUGAAGUAGAGCACUUCCUAGUUAUUUAAUUGUGUUGUUAUUCAGUAGAGCUCAUUGUUGAUGAAUUAGCCAACAAAUAUGCUGGAAAAAUUGCAUACUACAAGCUUAGCACUGAUGUCAAUCCAAGUAUAGCUACAAAGUGUGACAUUAGAAGCAUACAAACAGUUCUUUUCUUCAAAAAAUGGAGAGAAAAAAGAAAGCAUAACUAGUGUAGUUGUCAAGUCAACUUUCAGCAACAAUGGAUAAAUAUAUUGACAUAUGAUGUAAGAAAAAUUUGUAAAAUAUUGGUAUUUGUAUUGUGCAAGAAAUGACAUGAGUUGAAUCGUUGAGAAUGAGAAUAGAAACAAUACUUUUUAAUUUUAUUUCAUUCUCUUCCAUGCCUAGAAGGCUAAUGCUAGUGUUUUGUUUAUAAAGUUAUGGACCAUCUUUCCAUCUUCAUCUAGAUUCAAAUACUUACAAUAAUAUUGUGUACUCAUUUUUAAUAAACUAACUCCUAACUAUGUAAUUGUUUGACAUACUUGAGCAUCAUUUUUGUCUCAAGUAUACUAUUUAAAUAUUUAUGUAACUAUUAAUUAAAUCAUGGCUAUAAAAUAAACCUCACUGGAAGCUUCUUAACACUGAAUCAUGUAAAGUGAAAAUGGAACAUCAUCGAUAUCAUACCUUGAACAUAGAUGGAAGGUCAAAUGGGUAGGCGAUAUGCGACUGUGAUGUUGAGAGUUGAGAUGUUGAGAAUUGAGUUUUUAGAAUUAGAAUAUAAACA
Molecule: long non-coding RNA, 1150 nt
Filed under: Lupinus angustifolius (narrow-leaved blue lupine)
Lineage: Eukaryota; Viridiplantae; Streptophyta; Magnoliopsida; Fabales; Fabaceae
Description: long non-coding RNA (LANG_LNC000694)
Source: RNAcentral